Molecule: long non-coding RNA, 814 nt
Filed under: Salmo salar (Atlantic salmon)
Lineage: Eukaryota; Metazoa; Chordata; Actinopteri; Salmoniformes; Salmonidae
Description: lncRNA (ENSSSAG00000116801.1)
Source: RNAcentral
AUAAAAGUAAACUUACACAAUAAAGAAAGAAUGGCAAAAUAAAUAAUGUAGUUAUUAGUAUUUAUUUUAUAUUAACAGCUGAUUUUCCAGAGGGAGGCAAAAAAACAAAAAGACAUUUAGACCAAUCGAGAAAGCUCUUAGAAAAUACACAAAAUAAUUCAUGUGUACUCAUUAACUAUUUACAUUAAAAUGUACUUUGAAGUUCACUGAAGAAAGGUGUUGUACUACCUGUAAACAAUAGUGAGUUAGGGCAAAAUAUACAAUUUACAAUCAAGCGUACAUUCAUCAGACAUAGUAAACUUUGUACAUACAAUUCAGGGAUGGCCAUAAUUGCUAUUGAAGAGGUACAGGGUUAUGCAGGCUUUCUUGUUCAAGCCCAAAGCUACCUCACCUGAUUCUACUAUUCAAGGUAUCCAUGAAAAGCUUAGGUCUUGAUGAACAGCUGAGGUCUUGAUGAACAGCUGAGGUCUUGAUGAACAGCUGAGGUCUUGAUGAACAGCUGAGGCCUUUAUGAACAGCUGAGGUCUUUAUGAACAGCUGAGGUUUUUAUGAACAACUGAGGUCUUGAUAAACAGCUGAGGUCUUGAUGAACAGCUGAGGUCUUGAUGAACAGCUGAGGUCUUGAUAAACAGCUGAGGUCUUGAUGAACAGCUGAGGUCUUGAUAAACAGCUGAGUAGUAGAAUCAGGUGUGGUACAGUAGCACUGGGCUUGAACAAAAAAACCUGCAUAGCCCUGUGACUCGUAAAGAUUCAUUUAUGUAACUCCUGAUACUGUGACAAAUGACAAACUGCUGAGAAACAAAAUACAAAGUCA